CAUGCUGCUCACUUUCUCCCAUGUGACCACACUCAGUCUGUACACGGCCUUUUCUCUUGCUCAUUGUCUUUCGUACCAAUAGACUAGGAUUUGAUUUUCCAGAUCUGCCCAAGGGCUUUGCUUCCUCUCCCUUCUCCUCAUCAUCGUGAGUUGUGAGUUUAUGCCUCUAAAGAAGCCCCCUUACGGGGCAGUCACUGAGCCCAAGGGCCUUGGUGGCGAUUCCCGAGCAGGAGGGUCAGGGAGAGACGCGAAGGUGGAGGCUGGUCUCCUGUGUGUAGAGCACUGCUAGGGCUGCUGACCCGGAAUGCCAGGGCAACCAGCCGGUGAGGCCCAGCUUGUUUCAGACGACAAGCUGUGUGGCGAGCGGUUUCCAUGUGGCCUUCGGUAAGUGAACCCCUUUCCCUCCCAGCUUCUGGUCUGAACACGCUCCCCCUCCCGCGGAUCCGAACACGCUCCCUCCCCCAGAGAAGCUGCAAGAACAGACCCCGAGCCUCUCACCUAGACUCCCCGAGGGCACAUGCCUUCCCUCUUCCCGAGCCAUAUGGAAAACUAGACACUGCCCGAGAGCGAGGACACCCCCGCGGUCCCUGGGGAAGGUUUCGUGGACUCGCUGGGACCUCGCGUGGGGCCCACUCCUUCCCCCCAACCACGCCCCCUCGUGGGAGCCCCCAGCGACUGGCUGCAGUCCAUCUGGGGAAGGGUCAGCUCUGCCCAGCAGGGGGCCGGCCUCCCGCCUCCCCACUGGCAGUUACUGUGGGACUCGGGGUGGCCUGCCAGGGGCCACGUGACCCCCCUCUUCCCCAGACUCCGACUGUUUGAUCCACUAAGGUCAUUGCUGUCUUGGGUGCUUACCUGAUUCCCAGUUUGGCUUCUGUGUCACUCUGAUGAGUCCUUUGCAAUGUCUGAGCCCUUACGUGCUUCCUGGAACAAGAAACUCCGACCCCCGGGCACCUCUGCUCGGGGCCUGGAAUCAGCCCUUCUCCAAGGAGUCUGGGGGAGUUGAUGCAGAUGUGUAGACAGCAGUGGCUCCUGAACGUAGGCCUGAGAGUUCGUGAGGAACACGGUGGGCUGUGCUGUGUGCAUGUGUGGAUGCCGUCAGUACUCACCAGGCUAGAAAUUGCAACGGAGAUACAAAAUAUGUUAGUUAACUUAAAAGAAUAACAAACCCGUCAUAUGUUAACACAAAUAACACAUUUUAAUGACAAGUAACUUUCAUUUUCAAAAGCAAGCUCUUUGGCAAAUUUACAAUAGAGCGGGAAAAGUGAGGAGUAUGUUAGUAGUCUUUCUGAAUAAUUAUGGAUAAUUUUAGGCAACAGCAAAACCCGGUAAGUUGCAGAUUCUUACAAGUCAGUUGCAAAGCGGAAUAGGAAACCAUGUCAAUAACAAUGAUGGAUACAGGUUUUCCAAAAUUCAAGCUUCCAGGUGAAAAUGUGAAGUUUAUCACUAGCAACAGACGCUGUCCGUCCAUGUGCAUUGCAUAUUACACAUUAUCACACGUAAUUAUGUAUCACAGUCCAUAACAUGUAUGUGUGUGUGGAGAUGUAGCUAAAACGAUUGUUGGAGGUGUAAAUUCAGGAUGAACUCCUGGAAGAGUAGAGGCCAGACCAGAUAGUAAACGCGGGGCUGUUUGCUGGGUAUUUCUGGAUUAUCUUGGGGGCCGUGCUGUGUGAUUCCAAAGGUUUGUCAUCAAAGCUUUGUUUUUGUGAAGCUCUUUGAUUUCUUUCCAGUCUGGUCUGUGAAGUUGCAAUCAGGUUCGAGCAAACUGCUCCUUCUGUGUAUUUUUCCCUCCCGGACAACCAACAGAAAAACUGGUACAAUUAUAUUUUUCGUAGUUUCCUUUCCACCUGCACUGAAGACAUUCAGGUGACCUUCUGUGGAAGGACUCCCAGUGAGGACAAAAAUAGGAAACAGAGGCCAGCCCGUUGCCAGGCCGCAUGCACCGCCUGCCCCCAGCGCACGAAUGUUUGCACAAAGUCCUGCUCUCAGGGGCACAUUUGCGUGGACAGUCAAGCAUCCCCUGUGUCCAUUUUAGACCUCCCAUGGGUCUCUGAGCCUCUCGCUACAUUUUAUUUUCUCCAUUGAAGAAAACAAGACAUGAAAUUGUAAAGGUUUAAAGUCCGACCCAAAGCGUUUCUGCGCUUGGGUUAAUUUGUCCCACCUGACAAUCCUCAGUGGAAGGAAGAUGGAAAACCAAAGUCCACGGUCACUCAUGGCCACAGGCAUCCUGCCUCCAACCCUCAGGGUCUCAGCACCUCCAACGGGCAAGCACACAGUAGGAGCUUACUCAGUGCAGCCUGCCCUGUACAGGUGACAGCACGUGAGUGGGCGGGGCGCUGGGGUCCUGCGGGGGUCAGGAGACCCCCCCCCCCCGGUGCCUGCAGGUACCCAGCACACUGCAUGCAGUGGGAAGAGCCAGAUGGUCCCCCGCACCUGGGAUGGCACCCAGGCCCCGCCCAGCUGGGCCACUGCUCCACCCAUCUCGCGGGCACGAGGUCGCCCUGCUCUUGACGGAAGGAUCGGUGUCCCCGGCAGGGUCUGAACACCGCAGGCACCUCCUCACUGCGACAGCUCCACGACGUGGCCCCUGGGAGGCGAGCCUUGCCAGCUCCACGUGCCACCCUCAGCCACGCACCAAGGGCGGGGGCUCCAUACUUCACAGGCCAGAGAUGUGGCGGCUGCCCCUCGUCCCCUCUGCUGGGAGGCGCCUGCGGCCCCUGCGGAGCUUUCUCCUGGGUCUCUGGCCAUUCGGCACCUCGGACCAGCCCUCUUUCUUCUCCAAUUGUUCUCCGCCCACUACGGGCUGCCCCUGCCCCCCAAAGCCCACGCUGAAGGCCCGUCCCAAGUGUGGCUGUAUUUGCAGGUGGGGUCUCUGAGGAGCCAGAGAGUGAGGUCACAGGGUGGGGCCGGGGCCCCUGGGCUGGUGCCCUUGUGCGCAGAGGAGGGACGACAGAGCCCCUGUGCCUGAACUCAGGCCUGGACGAGGGCUCACCGCACACCAGCCGCACCUCGGCUGCCAGGGCUGUGAGGAACAGACACUUGUUCCGGCCUCCCUGCCAUGGUGUCUUGGCCGGGACAGCAAGAGGCUGAGAGCCCUUCCCCGUGGGGCCCUCUUCCUUCGCCUCUUCCUUAGCUGCUGGCCUCCUCCACAGGCCCCUCCGCUCUGCUCCUGCACCCCACGGGCCUCCUCACUCCAGCCUGGGCGUCCUCUCCCUCGCCACGCGCCCGUGCCCGCGCACCCACACUGAGUCAAGUUCAGUGGAAUCGUGAGACACAAGCCACAUUUUAUUAAUGGAUAGAACAUGCCGGAAAGUCCCAUUUGUCUUUUGUCAGUUUGCCAAGCGUACGGCAGCCAAAUAACAAGACCAUUAAAAGCAGCUCUUAUGUCACAA
Molecule: long non-coding RNA, 3389 nt
Organism: Felis catus (domestic cat)
Lineage: Eukaryota; Metazoa; Chordata; Mammalia; Carnivora; Felidae
Exons: 2
Source: RefSeq, a predicted model, not a curated record